GGCACUUAUGUGUAUGUUUAAUUUGUAACAAAGCCUUACAGACAAGUGCAAACAGUAAAUCUUCUUUUGCAACCCCCAGAAUUCAUUGCUAAGUAUCAGCUUUUGGUAUGUGUAAGAAAGAAUAUG
Dipodomys ordii (Ord's kangaroo rat) is the source of this 126-nucleotide small nucleolar RNA. The record is from Ensembl. Lineage: Eukaryota; Metazoa; Chordata; Mammalia; Rodentia; Heteromyidae.